GGUGGCUCAGUGGUAGAGUGCUUGCCUUGCAUGCAUGAGGUCCUGGGUUCCAUUCCUAGGUACCA
Molecule: transfer RNA, 65 nt
Filed under: Dipodomys ordii (Ord's kangaroo rat)
Lineage: Eukaryota; Metazoa; Chordata; Mammalia; Rodentia; Heteromyidae
Rfam family: tRNA
About the family: Transfer RNA (tRNA) molecules are approximately 80 nucleotides in length. Their secondary structure includes four short double-helical elements and three loops (D, anti-codon, and T loops).
Source: Rfam by way of RNAcentral